Molecule: ribosomal RNA, 253 nt
Filed under: uncultured bacterium
Lineage: Bacteria
Description: partial 16S ribosomal RNA
Rfam family: Bacterial small subunit ribosomal RNA
Source: RNAcentral
UACGAAGGGGGCUAGCGUUGCUCGGAAUCACUGGGCGUAAAGGGUGCGUAGGCGGGUCUUUAAGUCAGGGGUGAAAUCCUGGAGCUCAACUCCAGAACUGCCUUUGAUACUGAAGAUCUUGAGUUCGGGAGAGGUGAGUGGAACUGCGAGUGUAGAGGUGAAAUUCGUAGAUAUCUGGAGGAACACCGGUGGCGAAGGCGGCAUCCUGGACCGACACUGACGCUGAUGAGCGAAAGCCAGGGGAGCAAACGGG